GGAGGAAAAGAAACCAACAGGGAUUCCCCUAGUAACGGCGAGUGAAGCGGGAACAGCUCAAAUUUGAAAUCUGGCCCUUGGGUCCGAGUUGUAAUUUGCAGAGGAUGCUUUUGGUGCGGUGCCUUCCGAGUUCCCUGGAACGGGACGCCUUAGAGGGUGAGAGCCCCGUACGGUUGGCCACCAAGCCUGUGUAAAGCUCCUUCGACGAGUCGAGUAGUUUGGGAAUGCUGCUCAAAAUGGGAGGUAUAUUUCUUCUAAAGCUAAAUACUGGCCAGAGACCGAUAGCGCACAAGUAGAGUGAUCGAAAGAUGAAAAGCACUUUGAAAAGAGGGUUAAAUAGCACGUGAAAUUGUUGAAAGGGAAGGAUUUAUGACCAGACUUUUUCUGGGGGGAUCAUCCGGUGUUCUCACCGGUGCACUUCCCCCAGUUGAGGCCAGCAUCGGUUUCUGCCGGGGGAUAAAAGCUUUGGGAAUGUGGCUCCUUCGGGAGUGUUAUAGCCCGUUGCAUAAUACCCUGGCGGGGACCGAGGUUCGCGCAUUGCAAGGAUGCUGGCGUAAUGGUUAUUAAUCACCCGUCUUGAAACACGGACCAAGGAGUCGAACAUUUGUGCGAGUGUUUGGGUGUUAAACCCUCACGCGUAAUGAAAGUGAACGGAGGUGAGAGCCUUUAGGGGUGCAUCAUCGACCGAUCCUGAUGUCUUCGGAUGGAUUUGAGUAAGAGCAUAACUGUUCGGACCCGAAAGAUGGUGAACUAUGCGUGGAUAGGGUGAAGCCAGAGGAAACUCUGGUGGAGGCUCGCAGCGGUUCUGACGUGCAAAUCGAUCGUCAAAUCUGCGCAUGGGGGCGAAAGACUAAUCGAACCAUCUAGUA
RNAcentral lists this ribosomal RNA (869 nucleotides) under Apiospora arundinis. RNAcentral's name for it is "Arthrinium arundinis partial large subunit ribosomal RNA". It matches the Rfam family "Eukaryotic large subunit ribosomal RNA", at positions 52 to 949 of the family's 3401-position model. The record is from RNAcentral. Lineage: Eukaryota; Fungi; Ascomycota; Sordariomycetes; Amphisphaeriales; Apiosporaceae.